GCGAAAUUUAGUAGCGAAGUAGCUGAUUUCACACUGUCAAGAAAAGUCUCUAUCGAGGUUAAAGGUACCCGUACCGCAAACCGACACAGGUGGGUGAGGAGAGUAUCCUAAGGCCAGCGAGAGAACUGUUGUUAAGGAACUCGGCAAAAUGACCCCGUAACUUAGGGCUAAGGGGUGCCACCAUCAGGUGGCCGCAGAGAAUAGGCCCAAGCGACUGUUUACCAAAAACAUAGGUUUCUGCUAAGUCGCAAGACGAUGUAUAGGAGCUGACGCCUGCCCGGUGCUGGAAGGUUAA
Molecule: ribosomal RNA, 295 nt
Filed under: Clostridioides difficile
Lineage: Bacteria; Bacillati; Bacillota; Clostridia; Peptostreptococcales; Peptostreptococcaceae
Description: partial 23S ribosomal RNA
Rfam family: Bacterial large subunit ribosomal RNA
Source: RNAcentral